UUAUUAUUUAUUGAUAACAUUUCGUCUCCCUAAAUAAACAAAUAAACAAACAAAAAUAAAUAAAACAAAAGAGGAGGUCCCAGGUUCUCUCGUCCUGUAUAUCGCAAAGGUUCAUGGGUAAUCCAUCCACGUGCUUCAUUUUACAGAAGAAGGAGAAAGCGUCGUUGGUAUUUUGUAGUACGCUACGGUUUUUAAGCUAUUUGAUGGCAGCAGUCAAUAUGUAUUUCAAGAAAGAACAAUUCUAUACUAUACCUGGCAAACGGAUACCACAGAAUUUUCAUUUU
Long non-coding RNA from Actinia tenebrosa (Australian red waratah sea anemone), 284 nucleotides. NCBI's taxonomy places the organism in Eukaryota, Metazoa, Cnidaria, Anthozoa, Actiniaria, Actiniidae. The record is from RefSeq and is a predicted model, not a curated record.